GUGAGAAAGCACUUGGCACAGGAUGUAUAGCUCUUCUGACAAGCAUACUGGUACUUACAUUUCUCAUGCUACCCACCCAUUGCUCAGUGUUCAGCUUUCAUCCUGCCCAGCUCUGUGAUUAUCACUCCUUCACAGCCCGUUCCUGUGUUCAGUGACCCCACUGGACUUGGAAGAAAAGUGGAAGGAAUGUACACAGUGGAACUCUAAAAAGGAGGUUCUGUUUGGCUCCCCACUUGAGGAUGCAUUUGAAGACAAAAGACAUAUAUGGCAUGAGAUAACUCUGGGAGCUACAUGCAGAUGGAAGCCACUCAGAAGAGCUGUGUGUGAUUUUGUGGCCCUGCCUCCAUACUUAUCUCUGCAGUAAAAUUAAAUCCAUGUCUUUUAUUUGAAUAAAUCAAUGGAGUGACUCCUUCUACAAGGAUGAGAUUAAUAGGCAGUGAUUCCUUAUCAGUAUGAAGCUGGAUAUUUCAAUUUUUCCUCCAGAGCACAGUAAGCAGAGCAUGAUCAAUUACUGCACCAGUAAAAGGGGAUAUGAGUGUGUGCAACCACUAGGAGCUGGCAACUCAAAGUUUUCUAUCAAUACAGAACAGAAACAGAUGGAUUCCCAUGAGAGACAGAGCAGGCCGAGCUGCUAUGAGAGUUUAAAGAAUUAAGUUAUGUGCUCAUCUCAGUGCUAGCUGCAAAAGCAAGCCAGUGUACAAUUGAGC
Molecule: long non-coding RNA, 707 nt
Filed under: Coturnix japonica (Japanese quail)
Lineage: Eukaryota; Metazoa; Chordata; Aves; Galliformes; Phasianidae
Description: lncRNA (ENSCJPG00005000530.1)
Source: RNAcentral